RNAcentral lists this long non-coding RNA (1660 nucleotides) under Mus musculus (house mouse). RNAcentral describes it as "RIKEN cDNA 2900005J15 gene". The record is from RNAcentral. Lineage: Eukaryota; Metazoa; Chordata; Mammalia; Rodentia; Muridae.
GGCGUGCGGCGCCACUGUCCCACUCCACGCGGCCCACGCUGCCCCCGGGUGGUCGCCGUGCACUCUCUGUCUCAAGGUAGGCCAGCUCCGGACUCGCCAGGAGCUGAUUCUGAUCCAUCUGGUUUUGCUGUGUCUCUGUUUAGGUCCAGCCCCCGGAAACACACACCCGCAGCCCGACCACGCCACGAUUGAAGCCCCGGGUCAAAGUGGUUCGGGUGACCGCACUCGCUUCUCGCAACGCCGCCCCCCUGCGGCGUAGGGAACCCCAUCCUGUCCAGAGCGGCCUGUGGCGUGGUGAGUGCAGGCUUUUCUCCACAACUUGGUUCUUUUCAGAUUCAUCAAAGAUUGCGCAACAAACCUUGAUCUUUGGCAAAGGCGCUCUGGUCUCAGUAAAUGCUGAAGUCCUAAAACCACGAGAGGAAAUGGGUGCGUCGGAGCCUGAAACCAGGGCGAACACGCCACGUGCUCCCGGAUCUUCAGAGCCACUGGCUGCAGAUCUGGUACUGCGGGCUGCUCAGGGCCCUGGUGUUCCUCCCAGGCAGCAGGACCUUGGCUUCUGGUCUGAGUGAGGGGCGUGCUUCCUCUCCUGCUCAGAAUUGAAUACCGGCUGACCCCAGUGAUCACUCCAGCUCUUUGAAGCUAACAUCAGCCCACCUGCUCCCUGUAAACAGUAAUACACGGACAGUACCUAUAGCAUAAACGUGAUAGGGGUUCCUUUGACGAAGACAUGACACGGGUAAGGAGAUGGCCUUUACUCCUCUUCCUGCUCUCCCACCGUAGAGGAUGUGGUUACCACUUUAAGACCAUGAUUUAGUAAAGGACCUGUCUGUCCCAUGAGAAACCCAUUGCUGGGUCCAGCAAUCCCCUGGAUUUCCACGGUACCAGCCAAGUUCCUGCAAAUUAGGUUGGAAUGUUCAUCUCUUCAUGAUGGUGUGCCAGGAUGCAUAAAUGGUACCAUGUGAUGAGAAAGAAGUGGCUUUGAAAGAAGCAGCCAUCAGAAGAGACCAAGAAGACAGAGGAAAGGACUCUGAGGGGAACGUACAUGCUCCUUCUAUCACCACCUUUCCCUUGGGGUGUGCGUGUGUGUGUGUGUGUGUGUGUGUGUAUGUGUGUGUAGCUUGUGUGUGUGUGCACUUGCCUGUGGUAGCUUGUGUGUGUGUGUGCACUUGCCUGUGGUAGCUUGUGUGUGUGUGUAUACUUGCUUGUGGUAGCUUUGUGUGUGUGUGUGUAUGUGUGUAUACUUGCCUGUGGUAGCUUGUGUGUGUGUGUGUGUGUGCACUUGCCUGUGGUAGCUUGUGUGUGUGUGUGUGUGUAUGUGUGUGUGUGUGUGUGUGCACUUGCCUGUGGUAGCUUGUGUGUGUGUGUGUGUGUGUGUGCACUUGCCUGUGGUAGCUUGUGUGUGUGUGUGUGUGUGUGCACUUGCCUGUGGUAGUUUGUAAAUAUCAGAGGCUGAGAGGCUGAUUUCAGGAUAUCCUCUUUAAUCCUCUCUCAAACCUUUUUGUUGUUAUUUUGUUUGUUUGUUUGUUUGUUUGUUUGUGGGUAGUUUGUUUUGUUUUUUCAAGACGGUGAUUUUCUGUGUAGCCCUGGCUGUUCUGGACACUCAAAGACCUGCCUGUCUCUGCCUCCCAAGGGCUGGGAUUAAAGGAUUUAAAUCUCUUGA